RNAcentral lists this ribosomal RNA (253 nucleotides) under uncultured bacterium. RNAcentral's name for it is "partial 16S ribosomal RNA". It matches the Rfam family "Bacterial small subunit ribosomal RNA", at positions 524 to 776 of the family's 1533-position model. The record is from RNAcentral.
UACGUAGGGACCAAGCGUUGUUCGGAUUUACUGGGCGUAAAGGGCGCGUAGGCGGCAUGACAAGUCACUUGUGAAAUCUCCGGGCUUAACUCGGAACGGCCAAGUGAAACUGUCAAGCUAGAGUGCAGAAGGGGCAAUCGGAAUUCUUGGUGUAGCGGUGAAAUGCGUAGAUAUCCAGAGGAACACCUGAGGUGAAGACGGGUUGCUGGGCUGACACUGACGCUGAGGCGCGAAAGCCAGGGGAGCAAACGGG